This 320-nucleotide ribosomal RNA is filed under the name uncultured eukaryote. RNAcentral's name for it is "partial 18S ribosomal RNA". It matches the Rfam family "Eukaryotic small subunit ribosomal RNA", at positions 1470 to 1796 of the family's 1831-position model. The record is from RNAcentral.
CCCCUAGAUGUUCUGGGCCGCACGCGCGCUACACUGAACAGUUCAACAAGUCUUAACCUUGGACGAUAGGUCUGGGUAAUCUUUGAACGCUGUUCGUGAUUGGGAUAGACCUUUGCAAUUAUGGGUCUUCAACGAGGAAUUCCUAGUAAACGCAAGUCAUCAGCUUGCAUUGAUUACGUCCCUGCCCUUUGUACACACCGCCCGUCGCACCUACCGAUUGAAUGGUCCGGUGAAAUCUCGGGACGGCGGCUUGGUCGCUUGCGUCCGACUGCUGAAACUUGAUUAAACCAUAUCAUUUAGAGGAAGGUGAAGUCGUANCA